This 305-nucleotide ribosomal RNA is filed under the name uncultured bacterium. RNAcentral's name for it is "bacterial SSU rRNA". It matches the Rfam family "Bacterial small subunit ribosomal RNA", at positions 337 to 639 of the family's 1533-position model. The record is from RNAcentral.
GCCUACGGGGGGCAGCAGUGAGGAAUAUUGGUCAAUGGCCGGAAGGCUGAACCAGCCAAGUCGCGUGAGGGAAUAAGGCCCUAUGGGUCGUAAACCUCUUUUGUCAGGGAGCAAAGGCGUCCACGAGUGGACGAAAGGAGAGUACCUGAAGAAAAAGCAUCGGCUAACUCCGUGCCAGCAGCCGCGGUAAUACGGAGGAUGCGAGCGUUAUCCGGAUUUAUUGGGUUUAAAGGGUGCGUAGGCGGGCUUUUAAGUCAGCGGUAAAAAUUCGGGGCUCAACCCCGUCCGGCCGUUGAAACUGGGGG